UGCGCUCCAGGUUGCGUGGUAAAUGAGCGGUCAGGUGAUGCGUUUGAUUAGCGUGAACAUGGGUGCUGAGGAAGAGAAACGGAGGCUGGCCUCUGGAGGACGUAUUUCAUUUCUUUGUUCCAACUUCCAAGUGGCCUCUAGCCUCCGUUAGUCAUGAAUAAAUUAUGUUAAAAAAUGUAUAAAUUACUCAUUUUUGACAAAAAGCGAAAGAGCUGAUGUGUGCGUGCGACAUUUGAAUAAUGUUGGGCUGUAAACGGGUUCGGGCUUUUAAAAAGCUGUCAAUCAAAAUGUACUUGUCGGGCUCGGGCCGAACUUUUAACACCCAAUUACAGCUCUAGCUCUGAUCUGCGGCGAGAGUAGAGUC
This is a long non-coding RNA of Sander lucioperca (pikeperch), 364 nucleotides long. RefSeq lists it as uncharacterized. The transcript is spliced from 3 exons. The record is from RefSeq and is a predicted model, not a curated record. Lineage: Eukaryota; Metazoa; Chordata; Actinopteri; Perciformes; Percidae.